AGCAGCUGCGGUAAUUCCAGCUCCAAUAGCGUAUAUUAAAGUUGUUGCAGUUAAAAAGCUCGUAGUUGAAUUUCGGGAUCAAUAUAUCGGUCGUGCCUUGGUACGUACUGGUAUCAUUGGUUUCUCCUUUCUGACGAACCAUGAUGUCAUUAAUUUGGUGUUAUGGGAAGUUAGGACUGUUACUUUGAAAAAAUUAGAGUGUUUAAAGCAGGCUUUAGCUUGAAUACAUUAGCAUGGAAUAAUGAAAUAGGACGUUCGAACCUAUUUUGUGGUUUCUAGGAUCAACGUAAUGAUUAAUAAGGAUAGUUGGGGGCAUUAGUAUUCAAUUGUCAGAGGUGAAAAUUCUUGGAUUUAUUGAAAGACUAACUACUGCGAAAAGCAUUUGCCAAGGAUGUUUUCAUUAAUCAAGAACGAAAGUUAGGGAUCGAAGACGAUCAGAUACCGUCGUAGUCUUAACCAUAAACAUAGACCGACUAGGGAUCGGAUGAUGUUAAUUUUUAAUGACUNAUUCGCGCCUUAA
This 520-nucleotide ribosomal RNA is filed under the name uncultured Glomus. Its description in RNAcentral is "SSU rRNA". It matches the Rfam family "Eukaryotic small subunit ribosomal RNA", at positions 569 to 1091 of the family's 1831-position model. The record is from RNAcentral. Lineage: Eukaryota; Fungi; Glomeromycota; Glomeromycetes; Glomerales; Glomeraceae.